Non-coding RNA from Paramisgurnus dabryanus, 424 nucleotides. The record is from RefSeq and is a predicted model, not a curated record. NCBI's taxonomy places the organism in Eukaryota, Metazoa, Chordata, Actinopteri, Cypriniformes, Cobitidae.
CUAAACAAUUAUUUUUGACCCUUUCGUUGUAGUUGUCUGGCAUUUUAACAGUUUGUCACGUCUGUAAGUUACACAACGUCGUUUGAAAACUUUUGUUUCCAGCCAAUGUUAUGUGUGCAUGUAUUAAAGCGUUUUUCAUUCAAUGUUACAGGAAGCUGUAAGGCGCCUUCACAAUUCGGAAAACAACCCACAUAAAUAUGAUCCACAAACCGGAAUAAGUUCGCCUCGUAACCAAGCAGUCAUGACUUAUCUGCUAGAGGAAUUGAAAACAACUUUUGCAGAUGCAGACCCUGAGUGUAUACAAGCGUGUUGCAAGACAUACUUUGAGACACUUCGGAGAAAGUACAAUUUGUCUCAGCCAGAAAAGUCCCAGCUAAGAGAUGCCAUUAAAACAGGAGCUAAAAACCGACAAAGGAAAAGACGG